RNAcentral lists this unclassified non-coding RNA (258 nucleotides) under Hevea brasiliensis (rubber tree). The record is from RNAcentral. Lineage: Eukaryota; Viridiplantae; Streptophyta; Magnoliopsida; Malpighiales; Euphorbiaceae.
GCGCUCUUUAUCGCCCACUGCAACGCCGCCAUCAAUGUUAGCCUCCCAUCGUUAGAUCCGCCGGACUCCAAUGUUAGGGUUUCGGCGGAACUGGUAAGCUCAUUCUACGAGUAACUCAGCAUGAACCCCCUCUGCUGCAUCGCCCCGGUGUCGGUUGAGCGGGGCGCGGCCACGCCGGUUCUCCCCACGCGUGCUAAGCCGGCUGUGCCGCCACUUGAUGCCGCGGCCCGGACGGUGUCGAGCAAGCAGCUCCUACCG